Molecule: non-coding RNA, 353 nt
Organism: Cinara cedri
Lineage: Eukaryota; Metazoa; Arthropoda; Insecta; Hemiptera; Aphididae
Source: the annotation of a GenBank genome assembly
GGUAGUUUAUUUAAAGAUACACACGUAGAAAACAAACACAAAACAAAAUGAAAAUAAUAAGUGAUACCGCAUGAAUUAUCAAGGUAGACCCCACAUUGCCUCCACACGUGCGAAUUUGAACUGCACAGUUUUUCCUUAUUGAAUUUCGAAAAGGAUUUUCGGACUUCGCAAGCUGACAUAGACCUCAAGGCCAUUCCUACACACGUGAAGGAAAUCCUCAAGGACUUGACUGCGCAGUCCAAACCUUGAGGAUUUCCUCUACGUGUGUACCUACCUUAAGAUAGGUACAGUCAACUCUUAAAUAUUAAAUAAAUAAAAAUAAUAAUAAUAAUACUAUACAGGAAAGUACAGUG